RNAcentral lists this ribosomal RNA (402 nucleotides) under uncultured bacterium. RNAcentral describes it as "bacterial SSU rRNA". It matches the Rfam family "Bacterial small subunit ribosomal RNA", at positions 355 to 774 of the family's 1533-position model. The record is from RNAcentral.
UGGGGAAUCUUGGACAAUGGGCGCAAGCCUGAUCCAGCCAUGCCGCGUGAGUGAAGAAGGCCUUAGGGUUGUAAAGCUCUUUUGGCAGGGACGAUAAUGACGGUACCUGCAGAAUAAGCCCCGGCAAACUUCGUGCCAGCAGCCGCGGUAAUACGAAGGGGGCUAGCGUUGUUCGGAUUUACUGGGCGUAAAGCGCACGUAGGCGGAUUGUUAAGUCAGGGGUGAAAUCCCGGAGCUCAACUCCGGAACUGCCUUUGAUACUGGCAAGCUUGAGGCUGGAAGAGGUUGGUAGAAUUCCCAGUGUAGAGGUGAAAUUCGUAGAUAUUGGGAAGAAUACCAGUGGCGAAGGCGGCCAACUGGUCCAGAUCUGACGCUGAGGUGCGAAAGCGUGGGGAGCAAACA